UCCUCUAACCUCUACUUCACUACUUCUAUUUUGAUAAGAUAAUAUUUAGUAUAUAAAAUCUCCAUUUAAUUAAUGAACCCAUAAUUUCUAAUUUAUGUGUUAUGAACUGAUAUCUAAUUUUUUCGGCACACAUAUUUAUCUUCCUGUGUUUCUUUGUUUUCAUAACAAUACCCUUAAAGCCAUAUUCUUCAUUCAUAUUCUCACUAACAGUUUCCCCGUAAUAAUGAGUUCGUACAACUUAAAAUUUAUUCUCCUCUUUUUCUUAGUGAAUAGAUUUGUAGAUUCCAUCGAAGACAACCUUCGAUUUCCGCAAAACUUUUCAAUAGGAUCCGCAACGGCUUCUUAUCAAGUUGAAGGCGGUUGGAAUGCUAGUGACAAGGGUGAAAACAUUUGGGAUUGGUUUACACAUCUAAAGCCUUCGAGAAUAUUCGAUGAAAGUACUGGAGAUGUUGCUUGUGACUCAUACAGUAAAUAUAAAGAAGAUGUGAAGAUUUUGAAAAAUAUUGGUUUUGAUCACUACCGUUUUUCAAUAAGUUGGUCACGAAUUUUGCCAAAUGGUUUCGCGAAUAACGUCAGCAAAAACGGUAUCAAAUAUUACGCUGACCUUCUCGACGAACUGAAUUCAAAAGGUAUUACACCCUAUGUAACACUCUAUCACUGGGAUCAUCCAUCAAUUUUGGAGAAAUUAGGCGGAUGGACCAAUAAACUAAUGGUCGAGUGGUUUGCCGAUUACGCCAGAAUAGUAUUUCGGGAAUUGGGUCCAAAAAUAAAAAUCUUCCUCACAGUCAACGAGCCAACGGUAUUUUGUGGAUUUGGUUAUGGAUCUUUGCAAAGAGCACCAGGUAUAAACUUGCCAGGUUUGGGAAAUUACUUAUGUGUUCAUAAUGUCCUAAAAGCCCACGCUAGAGCAUAUCAUAUUUACGAUAAAGAAUUUCGUCCUCAACAAAAUGGUCUAAUUAGCAUUGUACUACAUUGCACUCGCUUCUAUCCUGAUGAUCCUAAUGACACUCUACUGGACGAUAUUGGAUUUCAAUUCUCCUGCGGAUGGACAGCACAUCCAAUUUUUUCAAAAAAUGGCGACUAUCCAGAAAUAAUGAAGAAUAUAAUAAGGAGGAAGAGUUUACUCCAAGGUUGGUCGCAAUCCAGACUACCCAAUUUCUCCCAAAAGUGGAUUUCCUACAUCAGGGGUACAGCUGACUUUUUCGCCUUAAAUCACUAUACGGCAAGAAUUAUACAAAAUAGAACAGGAUACAUUGGACCGUUCUUUAACGAUCUGGACAUAAAUUUAACCGUUGAUCCAAAUUGGCCAACAACUGAGAGCGAAUAUUUUUUUAUCGUACCCGAGGGUUUUAGAUCAAUUCUCAAUAGAAUAAAGGAAGAGUACGCAAAUCCACCGGUCUAUGUAAUGGAGAAUGGAUUUUCCAAUUCAGCUGUUCUAGACGAUGUGCAACGAUUGAAUGGUAUAAAGGUUUAUUUGAAGGCACUAUUGAUGGCUAUUCAUAAGGAUGGUUGUAAUGUCAAGGCGUACACUGUUUGGAGUCUUCUUGAUAAUUUCGAAUGGGAUAGAGGAUACAGUGAACGUUUUGGAAUUGUACAUGUUGAUUUUAACGACCCCGACAGAAAGAGAACAUUAAAACAAUCUGCAAUGUGGUUAAAAAGUAUGCUAUCAAAACGGGACCUUAACGCAGCCGAUAAUACUGUUUAUUAAAGAAAAAAAAAUUAUUUUCUCAGAUUAUGCUAUGUGGAAAUGAUGCAAGUUCAUGAAAAAUUUUUUAUAUUGCUAUAUUUUUUUACUCAUCUUUAAGUUUAAAUAAAAUGUGUAUAGAAUUUUUAUGCAGUUACGAAAGUUUUUCUUCCAUUUUCAGCCACUGUUGUUGUAAAAUUUUUAAAAUAGUUUAAGUGCUAAAAAAUUAAGAAAGUGGUUUCGAAAAAAUGAGAUUCAUCAUCUUCGGAAUUAUUCCAGCAAUUCUUCUACUUUCAUUUGGAUUUAUGAAGAAAACUGCAAGCGCUUCAAUGGUAGGAAACUCAAGAAAUAAACAUGUAAAUGAAUUUUCAAAAUUUGGUUAUAACAUUAAUGGACAUUAUAAAGCAAAAGAGGGAAAUGAAUAUGGAAAGCAUGAAAAAAUUGGUGGAAAAAAUGAAAAUUAUAUGGGACAAAAUUAUGGAACAUACGAGCAUGGAAAUAGAGCUAAUAUUCGAAAUAGAAUUAUAAAAAAAAUUAAUGAACGCGAUAAUGCAGUAACUGGUUGGCAUUUAAAGGCAACUAAGUUAAUUAAUAAAAUUUAUGAAAUUUUAGAAAUUGUUCAUCCUUUAAAACUAUUGAAAGCUCUUCAAUAAAUGAUGAUUCACUUUUUUUCUGAAACUUUUUGAUAAAGAAGAAAAGAAAAAAUUUAUUGCGAAAUAAAUAUAUGAAAAUUUUAUAAAAGAAAAUAAUGAAAAAUUUAAAAAAAUAAAUGAAAUGGUAUUAUUUUGAAGAAAUCUGAUAAAUUCAUGUAUUUAAUGCCUAUUUUGUUGUUAAUAAAGUUUACAAUGUAUUAAUUGAGAA
This is an RNA transcript of Leptopilina heterotoma, 2545 nucleotides long. It is a transcript of the gene named myrosinase 1-like, with no coding region annotated. The transcript is spliced from 11 exons. Lineage: Eukaryota; Metazoa; Arthropoda; Insecta; Hymenoptera; Figitidae. The record is from RefSeq and is a predicted model, not a curated record.